This 74-nucleotide transfer RNA is filed under the name Clostridiales bacterium. RNAcentral's name for it is "tRNA-Val". It matches the Rfam family "tRNA". Rfam says of the family: Transfer RNA (tRNA) molecules are approximately 80 nucleotides in length. Their secondary structure includes four short double-helical elements and three loops (D, anti-codon, and T loops). The record is from RNAcentral. RNAcentral also lists the same sequence under 1 other name. Lineage: Bacteria; Bacillati; Bacillota; Clostridia; Eubacteriales.
GGGAUUAUAGCUCAGCUGGUUAGAGCACCACGUUGACAUCGUGGGGGUCAUAGGUUCGAGUCCUACUAAUCCCA